UGGGGAAUUGUUCGCAAUGGGCGCAAGCCUGACGACGCAACGCCGCGUGGAGGAUGAAGACCUUCGGGUCGUAAACUCCUUUCGAUCGAGACGAAUGGUCUCCGGGUGAAUAAUCCGGAGAAGUGACGGUACCGAGAGAAGAAGCCCCGGCUAACUCCGUGCCAGCAGCCGCGGUAAUACGGGGGGGGCAAGCGUUGUUCGGAAUUACUGGGCGUAAAGGGCUCGUAGGCGGCCAACUAAGUCAGACGUGAAAUCCCUCAGCUUAACUGGGGAACUGCGUCUGAUACUGGAUGGCUUGAGUUCGGGAGAGGGAUGCGGAAUUCCAGGUGUAGCGGUGAAAUGCGUAGAUAUCUGGAGGAACACCGGUGGCGAAGGCGGCAUCCUGGACCGACACUGACGCUGAGGAGCGAAAGCCAGGGGAGCAAACGGGAUUAGAUACCCCCGUAGUCC
RNAcentral lists this ribosomal RNA (450 nucleotides) under uncultured bacterium. RNAcentral describes it as "bacterial SSU rRNA". It matches the Rfam family "Bacterial small subunit ribosomal RNA", at positions 355 to 796 of the family's 1533-position model. The record is from RNAcentral.